UAAAUUGAGAGUUUGAUCCUGGCUCAGGAUGAACGCUGGCGGCGUGCCUAAUACAUGCAAGUCGAACGCAACUUUCUUACACCGAUGCUUGCAUCACCGUAAGAAAGUUGAGUGGCGGACGGGUGAGUAACACGUGGGUAACCUGCCCAGAAGAGGGGGAUAACACUUGGAAACAGGUGCUAAUACCGCAUAUCUCUAAGAACCGCAUGGUUCUUAGAUGAAAGAUGGUUCUGCUAUCGCUUCUGGAUGGACCCGCGGCGCAUUAACUAGUUGGUGGGGUAACGGCCUACCAAGGUGAUGAUGCGUAGCCGAACUGAGAGGUUGAUCGGCCACAUUGGGACUGAGACACGGCCCAAACUCCUACGGGAGGCAGCAGUAGGGAAUCUUCCACAAUGGGCGAAAGCCUGAUGGAGCAACGCCGCGUGAGUGAAGAAGGUCUUCGGAUCGUAAAGCUCUGUUGUUAGAGAAGAACACUGAUGAGAGUAACUGUUCAUCAGUUGACGGUAUCUAACCAGCAAGUCACGGCUAACUACGUGCCAGCAGCCGCGGUAAUACGUAGGUGGCAAGCGUUAUCCGGAUUUAUUGGGCGUAAAGGGAACGCAGGCGGUUUUUUAAGUCUGAUGUGAAAGCCUUCGGCUUAACCGGAGAAUAGCAUUGGAAACUGGAAGACUUGAGUGCAGAAGAGGAGAGUGGAACUCCAUGUGUAGCGGUGAAAUGCGUAGAUAUAUGGAAGAACACCAGUGGCGAAAGCGGCUCUCUGGUCUGUAACUGACGCUGAGGUUCGAAAGCGUGGGUAGCAAACAGGAUUAGAUACCCUGGUAGUCCACGCCGUAAACGAUGAAUGCUAGGUGUUGGAGGGUUUCCGCCCUUCAGUGCCGCAGCUAACGCAAUAAGCAUUCCGCCUGGGGAGUACGACCGCAAGGUUGAAACUCAAAGGAAUUGACGGGGGCCCGCACAAGCGGUGGAGCAUGUGGUUUAAUUCGAAGCAACGCGAAGAACCUUACCAGGUCUUGACAUCCUUUGACCACUUGAGAGAUCAAGCUUUCCCUUCGGGGACAAAGUGACAGGUGGUGCAUGGCUGUCGUCAGCUCGUGUCGUGAGAUGUUGGGUUAAGUCCCGCAACGAGCGCAACCCUUGUUGUCAGUUGCCAGCAUUAAGUUGGGCACUCUGGCGAGACUGCCGGUGACAAACCGGAGGAAGGUGGGGACGACGUCAAGUCAUCAUGCCCCUUAUGACCUGGGCUACACACGUGCUACAAUGGAUGAUACAACGAGUCGCGAGACCGCGAGGUUUAGCUAAUCUCUUAAAGUCAUUCUCAGUUCGGAUUGUAGGCUGCAACUCGCCUACAUGAAGUCGGAAUCGCUAGUAAUCGCGAAUCAGCAUGUCGCGGUGAAUACGUUCCCGGGCCUUGUACACACCGCCCGUCACACCAUGAGAGUUUGUAACACCCAAAGCCGGUGGGGUAACCUUUUAGGAGCUAGCCGUCUAAGGUGGGACAGAUGAUUGGGGUGAAGUCGUAACAAGGUAGCCGUAGGAGAACCUGCGGCUGGAUCACCUCCUUU
The sequence is a ribosomal RNA, 1562 nucleotides long. It matches the Rfam family "Bacterial small subunit ribosomal RNA". The record is from Rfam.